UGCUUUACUGUGGUUAGAUCUAGCCACGAUAAAAGACUAGGGAGAAUAGGUUUUCGAUUAGUCUUUCUCAUUCUUUGGUGGCAGAAAGAAAAAAAAAGACACCAGAAAGAAGAAGUUUCUCCUCCUACAUGAAUGUUGGCCAUCGUUUGUUGGGCAUCUGUUCUCAUGCCUUUUUUUGCCGAGUGUUUGCCUGUGCGAUCAUCCAUACUGCAAAACGUCAUACAUGUUUGG
This 231-nucleotide long non-coding RNA is filed under the name Sorghum bicolor (sorghum). RNAcentral's name for it is "long non-coding RNA (SBIC_LNC000381)". Lineage: Eukaryota; Viridiplantae; Streptophyta; Magnoliopsida; Poales; Poaceae. The record is from RNAcentral.